GCCUCAUUCUUCUUUAGGCGAGGCUGCCUUCAAGAGGUACAGGUAGGCGCACUGAAGCACACUGAUUCUCUGGGCGCAGCGGGUCACGCCUUGAAACUUUUGAAGCUGUUAAGAAAUAAAACGUAGCCAGAACCAGCCCCAGCACACUUCCAGCAAUCCAGCCUUCGACAGUUCGAGUCGCACCAGCCCUAGCCCUUCAUCUUCGACCCUUCGAAGCAGCACAAAGCCAGCAGGAGAAGUUCGUCUUCGACCAAUCGAUCCUUCGAAGCAGUACGAAACCUGCAGGAGCCCUUCGAAGUUCGAACCAGCACGAGGCUUUCGUCUUCGACCCUUCGAACCAGCAGGAGCUCUUCGUCUUCGAGCCUUUGAACAAGCAGGAGCCCUUCGUCUUCAAGGUUCGAGCCUUCGUGAGUCGUCGGGCUGCUUCGAUUUUCAAACUAGUCCUUUCUGGUAAGAUUGUCAGAUGUCCUAGAUGUUUGAUGGCUGUUGCAGUUGCACAACCCCAACAUGGGAUUCAGAUAGUGUCUUGUCCCAAGUGCCGCUACCAGUAUGAGCUUGUUUCUGGAGACAUAGUUAUUAUCAAGUCACAAAAAAUCAGGAUCUCCUCCUGCUGAACGCAGCAUGGAUGUUCCGGCAUGGGAAAGAACCCUAAACUUCCUGCAGAUGAUGAGAGAAAGCAGUGCAGCUGCCGUUCACUUCGUUGUGGUAUGAUCUUAAAUAUUUGGUUGUUGUUCCAAAGCACAACAGAAAUCAAGCAUCUUCUCUCAAUUGGAAGAAUCUGUUUAUAGAAGAAACUAAUAAGGAGGAAGAAUUGAGAUAUUGUAAACUGCGUAAUAUUGGUGGAAAAGUUCUUUUCAAGUUGAUCCUCUGUUGAAGUUUUUCUGCAUAGUCGAAAAAAGUGGAAUAAUAGUCUCAUUGGACAGUUUCUAGCACAUAGAAGGCAAAAGGAAAAUGGAAGCUAUGAAGGACUUAAUGUUCAUAUUUCUGGCAUAUUCCAUGCAGAUUCAAGAGCAAAAGAAGAAGACGUUUGUUUUUCAAUUUGUAAUUGCAUUUGGAUUUCUGGUAUGUAAUAAUGCACUGCAUGCAUGAUAAGAAUUUAUGCUCAAAGGCCAUAGACUGCCCAUAGGAACCGUACCCUUAAGAUAAAAUGCCACAACUUAUUAUAGGAUUGAAAAAGUUCAAGGGCAAAACAAGACAAAAGUAUUCAUCUUGAAGAGGCCCGGUCGACCGACCAAGCAUGCUCUAAAUGCUUCGGCCGACCGAAUCCAAUACUUAAUUAUUUUUAAAUGCUUGGCCGACCAAACUUUUAACUUGCAUGAAUCACGGUCGCCUGAACUCAUUUUGGCUUGCUUCUUAAGUGCUCGGUAGACUGACCUUCACGGUUUAAAUUGGGCCAGCCAACCCUUAAGUGCUCGUCAGACCCGCCUUCACGGUUUAAAUUGGGUCAGCCAAACGAACAUGCUCUCUCAGCUAACCGCCUUUUACCCACGAUCAACCGAACCUACGAAGGUUUGGGAAAUAGCCUUGGCCAGUCGACCGGUCACCUCCCACCACAAAUCGAACUCAGGAAUUGAUUUCAAAAUUGUGUGAGUGCUCAGCUGACUGGUCUUAGCCUUAGUCGAUCGAACCUUCAAUUUUUUACCGCACUAAUCAGGGGUUAAUUUUAAUUAAUUUUUUUCCAAAAUUCCCUCCGUGUCCCCAAAGGUCUAAAAUCUUGGGAACUCUAUAUAUAUCCAUUCAUUUUUCCUAAUUAGCAAGCAAAUUAGAAAAAUAGUUAACAAAUUUUCUCUAAAAAUAUUUGUGCUCCUAUUGCUCAUACUCUUGCAAAUUUUUCAAGCAUAUCACUCAUUCUCCUUACACUCUUGUUUGCAAAAUUAUUUUUUAAGGAGAUUCAUUGUUCAUACUCAUGACUUGCAAAUUAAUUGCAACUUGAAAGGAGUGUGUUAUUUAUUGUUGUGUAUUUUCAUAAAUCGUAUUUUGGGUUAAACUCUCGCAUGUCCUUUUCAUUUUUAAAACCCUUCUUGAGAGUUGAUUUAGAGAUAUUUCCUAUAUUAUUUCACAUUGAUAAAUAUUGUUGGGAAAGUCUUCUCUUAAGCUUGUGAGUCUUUUGGCAUUUCUAUUGCAAGACUCAAAAGCUCUUUUGAUACUUAUUGAUAAAAAUACUUUCAAGAGCUUUAUUAAACAUCCCCUUACUUUAUCUUGAAAUUAAUUUGUGGAGAUAUUGUUUGUGCAUUUGAUCUUUGUUGAACUCUUAAUAUAAAGUUGACUCAUAUCUCAAAGAUCAUUUUAUCUUACAUAUUGCUUGAGUGAGAUACUCUCACAUAAACUCUAUUGAGCAUAAAUAUCUAUCAUACUAGAGUGCAUUGGUAAUAUUGUGGUACACAUCUGCUUGUGUAAGAAGUAAAUUUCUUUAUACACAAAUUUGUUAUUAAUUGUUGUAUUCUCGGCAUGUGAUCAUCGAAAGAGGAUUGCAUUGGCCUAUAAUGUGUACCGGAUUGCUUAGACCCAGUUAAGAAAGUCCUGGAUGGUUUAGACCCGGUUAAGAAAAUCAAAUGCACAUUUCUAAGGUAUGAUUGUAAAGGUUGGGUUCAGCCCUAUAAUUUGACCUAAGGUAUUCUCUUGCCCAGUAAGGAAAGGGUAUUGUAAUCGGUGAUGCUCCACUCGUAAGUGAUCAAAGUUAGUGGAAUUCUCUUAUUUGUUAGCUCGAGGUGGGAACGUAGGCAAUAUUGGCCGAACCCCGAUAACA
This is an RNA transcript of Malania oleifera, 2746 nucleotides long. RefSeq lists it as uncharacterized. The record is from RefSeq and is a predicted model, not a curated record. The transcript has 6 exons. Lineage: Eukaryota; Viridiplantae; Streptophyta; Magnoliopsida; Santalales; Ximeniaceae.